RNAcentral lists this ribosomal RNA (441 nucleotides) under uncultured bacterium. RNAcentral describes it as "SSU rRNA". It matches the Rfam family "Bacterial small subunit ribosomal RNA", at positions 26 to 518 of the family's 1533-position model. The record is from RNAcentral.
AGAGCGAACGCUGGCGGCAGGCCUAACACAUGCAAGUCGAGCGCCCGUAGCAAUACGGGAGCGGCAGACGGGAUAGUAACACGUGGGAACGCGCCCUUCGGUUCGGAAUAACUCAGGGAAACUUGAGCUAAUACCGAAUACGCCCUUACGGGGAAAGAUUUAUUGCCGAAGGAACGGCCCGCGUCCGAUUAGCUAGUUGGUGAGGUAAUGGCUCACCAAGGCUACGAUCGGUAGCUGGUCUGAGAGGAUGACCAGCAUCGCUGGGACUGAGACACGGCCCAGACUCCUACGGGAGGCAGCAGUGGGGAAUAUGGACAAUGGGCGAAAGCCUGAUCCAGCCAUACCGCGUGGAUGAUGAAGGCCUUAGGGUUGUAAAGUCCUUUUAACGGGAGAUAAUGACGUACCGUAGAUAAGCCCGGCUAACUUCGUGCCAGCAGCCGC